CCUACGGGAGGCAGCAGUGGGGAAUAUUGCGCAAUGGGCGAAAGCCUGACGCAGCGACGCCGCGUGAGGGAUGAAGGUCUUCGGAUCGUAAACCUCUGUCAGCAGGGAAGAACGGUCACUGUGCUAAUCAGCAGUGAAUUGACGGUACCUGCAAAGGAAGCACCGGCUAACUCCGUGCCAGCAGCCGCGGUAAUACGGAGGGUGCGAGCGUUAUCCGGAUUUAUUGGGUUUAAAGGGUGCGCAGGCGGCCUGUUAAGUCAGCGGUAAAAGCCCGGGGCUCAACCCCGGCGAGCCGUUGAAACUGGCGGGCUGGAGUUGGAGAGAAGUACGCGGAAUGCGCGGUGUAGCGGUGAAAUGCUUAGAUAUCGCGCAGAACCCCGAUUGCGAAGGCAGCGUACCGGCUCCACACUGACGCUGAGGCACGAAAGCGUGGGUAUCGAACAGGAUUAGAUACCCCUGUAGUC
Molecule: ribosomal RNA, 464 nt
Filed under: uncultured bacterium
Lineage: Bacteria
Description: partial 16S ribosomal RNA
Rfam family: Bacterial small subunit ribosomal RNA
Source: RNAcentral